Molecule: long non-coding RNA, 2858 nt
Organism: Canis lupus familiaris (dog)
Lineage: Eukaryota; Metazoa; Chordata; Mammalia; Carnivora; Canidae
Exons: 3
Source: RefSeq, a predicted model, not a curated record
UCUCAGCCCAGGACCUGGCUCCUAUUGGCAAGUACUACACAGACGUGAAGAGUGAGUGAAUGGGUGCCCGAGAGAGAUGGCAGUCAUGGGGGCAUGCUUCCUCCAGCCUCUUCCCUGUUCUUGCCCCUCCUGGGCCCUCCUUCUCCUCCUCCCUUACUCACUUCCUUUUAUUGCCCUGAAGCUGGACUCCUCCAAAAUCCCUGCCCAGGGGCUCUCAGCUGAAGGAUGUGGUGGACACAUGAGGAUACAUCUUAGCUCUGGAUUUGAAACCUCAGUUUCCCUGAGGGAAGGUCUGCGAUGCAUACGCUCAUUAUACAGAUGAACUACCUUGAUUCAGGAGGUAAGUUUGGCUUUGGUCAAAACUGCUCAGAAGGAUGAUGGCAGAGCAACUUCUGAAACUCCUCCAUGUCACUGACUUGGGGUGACUCAUCUUGUUGCUAGGUUGGCUCAUUAUCUCAGCGUGAACACUUUUUGGUGAACCUUGUGGUUACAGGGCUGGUGAAAUCCCCAACCAAGUCUUCUGCCUAAAGAAAGUUGCAUUUAUAUCAACAAGAAUAAUACUUAUGCUAAUGGUGGCUAGCACGGAUGCCAGGAACUUUCCCAAUCCUUUAUUGCAGGGGUCUGAAGUCUGUGACCCGCAGGCCAGAUCUUGUUUCUGCAAAAGAGGCUUUAUUGGAACACAGCCAUGCCAAUCUGUUUAUGUACGCCUGUGUCUGCUUUCUUGCUGUCAUAGCAGAAUUGAGUAGUUGUGACUGCCCGUAUCGUCCCCGAAGCCUAAAAUAUUCAUCAUCUGGCCCCUCACGAGUGGAGUUUGCCAAUCUCUGCUUUAUAUUCAUUAUUUGACACGAUGGCCCAGGUCUUUUUACAUCACCGUUUUACAGAUGAAGAAACUGAGGCUCACACAAGACAGUUGAUUUCCUUGAGGUUUCGCAGAGACAGGAAGAGACCUGGAGAUUCUAUGUUCAGAACCUGUGAUCGUCCUCACAUGUUCUCCUGGAAGUGACAGCGUUGGUUUGAUCUUGAAGGAGAAAGCAGAGGCUGGGCUGAUUCCUGAUAGAUUCCAGGACUCCAAACACUGAACGCUCCAAUGGCAUUUCUUUUUUUUGGACAAAUGCUCUGAUUAUCUAUUGUUGCAUAAAGAUUCCCCUCAACAGGUGGUUGAAAAUAACAACAAUCACUUACUUUGCUCCCAAAUCUGCAACUGAGCAGGGCAGAGAAGGGAUGGCUGUUCUCCAUGCAGUGUCAGCAGCGGCGGGUCAAGCAAGGCUGAGGAUUUGCCUCCAAGAUGACUUGUACGUGGCUGGCCAGUUGGUUCUGGCUCCUGGUCUCUCUGUAGGAGCAUUUUGCAGGCAUGUGUUGGGCUUCCUCACAGCAUGGUAACUGUGUCCCGAGAGGAAGCAUCCUAAGACCAGGAGAUGGAAUUCUCCAGGAUUCUUAAAGCCCUGGACACUACUUCCAUUGUGUGCUUUUGGUCGGGUGUCAUAGACCAGCCUCCAUUCAAAGAAGGGGGAGGAGACCCCAUCUCUUAAUGAGACCAGUGUCAAAGAAUUUUGGGGUCAUAUUUAAAAACUCACUGCAAAUAUUCAUAUUCAUCUCAGGGGUCCCUCAGGCCAUCAUUCUGAUCCAGCAUAGACUAUGUCUGGUUAGGGUCACCUGGUCAUUUCUUUCCCAAACUGGGACUCACCAGCAGACUGGAAGGAUGGUCUAAAUAACACUACCAGGCAGUGAGUGCAAAUCAGAACUGUCUCAACCUACCAGCUAUGCAGUCACCCUAUCCUUGGGGGGCAAUGAUUAAUGUCUUGUUGGUGUCCUCAAGUCAUCUUGGGAAGGUGAUGUUAGGACCCAUGUUCUGUUUCAGUAUGGGAACACAUUUAGGAAAAUGUUGGUAAGUUGUUUAAAAAUGAAGAGUAAUUUUUUCCUGGAUGUAAAUCUUCAGUUAUCUGGAAAACUCAUUUAAACAGAGCUUCUGCUUCCCCGAAUCUUCUGGUUAACCACACCGCUCUUGUUGGAUAUGGCACCCUCAGAUGCGGAGCCCCCCUGAAUGCUACUGGCUGUGGCCAUGCUGGCUCCUUUUGCUGAGCUCCGUACUAGAUUCUGGAAAAGCAGAGAUGGCCACCAGGUACCGCGAUUGAGGAAAUCAGUUACUACUGAAUCAUAUGCUGCAACGAGAAAUAAUAUCUGAAAAUUCACAACCUCUACGAAGCGUGACUUCUGGGCCUCUUUUUUAUACCAUUGCCUGCCUCAUACCCCACCUUGGACCCCUUUCUCUUCCCUCCACUGUGAAGUCAUAUGAUAAUUUCUCACCGGAAAUGAAAGACUCUUCCUGCAAAAAUGACUUUGGAAAGUUCCUGGAGCGCACUACAAGGUGUCUGGUUUAUUAUUAUUAUUUUUUUAAUCGGUAUAGAUCUGGGGUCACUGCUUGUGAAUUGGGGUUUGACUGUGCCUAUCGGCCUUGACACUUUGCUUCAAAAGUUAAGAUGUGCCAUCAGUAAUGGCUUGAUUUUAUCGGUUCCCUCCCAUGGAUGUAGUUCGUGAAAUUUUAUUGUUGAGACUCAGAACUUGAGACUCGGUUGAUUGUGAUUCUUAGCUCUGAAAAUGUUCAUGUGUAUUUUGGAGGGAGAGAUCACACCAGGGUGGCUAUGUGGAUUCUAUUAACCCCAGAGCCUCCCCUCACCAUUUUGUCUUUAUGAUUGUCACUGUUGCUGUUGAAAACAGAUCAUGAUUUUAAAUGUGCAUAAUCUCAGGUCUGAUGCAAAAUUAAUACCAAUUGCUUGAUUUUCACACCAAGACAUUAAUUACUAUUUAUUUUGCAUUUGCAUUCACAGGUAUCUGUGGAGGGAAAUUAGCAUACUCUGUUG